RNAcentral lists this long non-coding RNA (601 nucleotides) under Monodelphis domestica (gray short-tailed opossum). Its description in RNAcentral is "lncRNA (ENSMODG00000050724.1)". Lineage: Eukaryota; Metazoa; Chordata; Mammalia; Didelphimorphia; Didelphidae. The record is from RNAcentral.
GAAGAGAGAGAGCUGGUUAAAACUUUCUCCUGAGGGUUACCCACCUUUUUUCCUGCUAGGGACUGGAAAUCUGUCCCUUCAACCUUUCCCAAUUGAAAAGACUAAUGAAGGGAAAGCUGAGAAAAGACAUUUUGAGUCUCUGUCAGACUUUACCUCAGCUCCUGUUGUCCUGGGUCUGAACUGUGUGGCCAGUGAGCCACACCCAGGAUUCUUUGCAUGUGCAACAGCUGGAAAAGUGUCCUGUAAUGUAAAGAAUACAAGGAUGGGAGUGAAGAGAGUUGAAUUCCAUUACAAGCUCUGUCACAAGCUAGUUAAUGUGACUUUGGUCUCCAUGUCUGAAGAUGUUUCCAGGGAAUGGAAGAUUGUAUUUGUUGCCCUCGGCCCCAGGUCUGAUGCACGAAGGUUGAUUUUCAUGGGGCACUCCAACUGUUGUGAGCACCAGGUGGUGGAGUCAGGGACAAAAUGUGCUUCUACCCACUGGUUCGGAAAAUAAGAAAACAUAAAACAAAAAAUGGAGGAGCUUCUGCUGGCAGAAGUGGGGGGUACCUAUUUCUUCCCUGGGCACAAUAAAAUAGCAUUAUAGAGUUUCUCUCUUCCUUUG